This 468-nucleotide ribosomal RNA is filed under the name uncultured bacterium. RNAcentral describes it as "partial 16S ribosomal RNA". It matches the Rfam family "Bacterial small subunit ribosomal RNA", at positions 28 to 507 of the family's 1533-position model. The record is from RNAcentral.
GACGAACGCUGGCGGCGUGCUUAACACAUGCAAGUCGAACGGAAAGGCCCUGCUUUUGUGGGGUGCUCGAGUGGCGAACGGGUGAGUAACACGUGAGUAACCUGCCCUUGACUUUGGGAUAACUUCAGGAAACUGGGGCUAAUACCGGAUAGGAGCUCCUGCUGCAUGGUGGGGGUUGGAAAGUUUCGGCGGUUGGGGAUGGACUCGCGGCUUAUCAGCUUGUUGGUGGGGUAGUGGCUUACCAAGGCUUUGACGGGUAGCCGGCCUGAGAGGGUGACCGGCCACAUUGGGACUGAGAGACGGCCCAGACUCCUACGGGAGGCAGCAGGGGGGAAUAUUGCACAAUGGGCGGAAGCCUGAUGCAGCAACGCCGCGUGCGGGAUGACGGCCUUCGGGUUGUAAACCGCUUUCGCCUGUGACGAAGCGUGAGUGACGGUAAUGGGUAAAGAAGCAACGGCUAACUACGUG